RNAcentral lists this ribosomal RNA (279 nucleotides) under uncultured archaeon. RNAcentral describes it as "partial 16S ribosomal RNA". It matches the Rfam family "Archaeal small subunit ribosomal RNA", at positions 1047 to 1325 of the family's 1478-position model. The record is from RNAcentral. RNAcentral also lists the same sequence under 1 other name.
GAGACCCACGCCCACAGUUGCCAGCGUACUCUCCGGAGUGACGGGUACACUGUGGGGACCGCCGCUGCUAAAGCGGAGGAAGGAAUGGGCAACGGUAGGUCAGUAUGCCCCGAAUAUCCCGGGCUACACGCGAGCUACAAUGGUUGGUACAAUGGGUAUCUACCCCGAAAGGGGAUGGAAAUCUCCUAACGCCAAUCUUAGUUCGGAUCGAGGGCUGCAACUCGCCCUCGUGAAGCUGGAAUCCGUAGUAAUCGCACAUCAACAGUGUGCGGUGAAUAC